ACUGGGCGUAAAGGGCACGCAGGCGGUGACUUAAGUGAGAUGUGAAAGCCCCGGGCUUAACCUGGGAAUUGCAUUUCAUACUGGGUCGCUAGAGUACUUUAGGGAGGGGUAGAAUUCCACGUGUAGCGGUGAAAUGCGUAGAGAUGUGGAGGAAUACCGAAGGCGAAGGCAGCCCCUUGGGAAUGUACUGACGCUCAUGUGCGAAAGCGUGGGGAGCAAACAGGAUUAGAUACCCUGGUAGUCCACGCUGUAAACGAUGUCGAUUUGGGGGUUGAGCUUUGAGCUUGGCGCCCGUAGCUAACGUGAUAAAUCGACCGCCUGGGGAGUACGGCCGCAAGGUUAAAACUCAAAUGAAUUGACGGGGGCCCGCACAAGCGGUGGAGCAUGUGGUUUAAUUCGAUGCAACGCGAAGAACCUUACCUACUCUUGACAUCCAGAGAACAUUCCAGAGAUGGAUUGGUGCCUUCGGGAACUCUGAGACAGGUGCUGCAUGGCUGUCGUCAGCUCGUGUCGUGAG
RNAcentral lists this ribosomal RNA (517 nucleotides) under uncultured bacterium. Its description in RNAcentral is "bacterial SSU rRNA". It matches the Rfam family "Bacterial small subunit ribosomal RNA", at positions 553 to 1071 of the family's 1533-position model. The record is from RNAcentral.